This 66-nucleotide transfer RNA is filed under the name Cordylochernes scorpioides. RNAcentral describes it as "tRNA-Thr". It matches the Rfam family "tRNA". Rfam says of the family: Transfer RNA (tRNA) molecules are approximately 80 nucleotides in length. Their secondary structure includes four short double-helical elements and three loops (D, anti-codon, and T loops). The record is from RNAcentral. Lineage: Eukaryota; Metazoa; Arthropoda; Arachnida; Pseudoscorpiones; Chernetidae.
UCCAGGGUAGCCUAGUGACAUGGCAUCUGCCCGGUAAGCGUGUGGGUUCGAUUCCCAUCCCUGGAC